Molecule: ribosomal RNA, 427 nt
Filed under: uncultured bacterium
Lineage: Bacteria
Description: partial 16S ribosomal RNA
Rfam family: Bacterial small subunit ribosomal RNA
Source: RNAcentral
UGGGGAAUAUUGGACAAUGGGCGAAAGCCUGAUCCAGCCAUGCCGCGUGUGUGAAGAAGGUCUUCGGAUUGUAAAGCACUUUAAGUUGGGAGGAAGGGUUGUAGAUUAAUACUCUGCAAUUUUGACGUUACCGACAGAAUACGCACCGGCUAACUCUGUGCCAGCAGCCGCGGUAAUACAGAGGGUGCAAGCGUUAAUCGGAAUUACUGGGCGUAAAGCGCGCGUAGGUGGUUAGUUAAGUUGGAUGUGAAAUCCCCGGGCUCAACCUGGGAACUGCAUUCAAAACUGACUGACUAGAGUAUGGUAGAGGGUGGUGGAAUUUCCUGUGUAGCGGUGAAAUGCGUAGAUAUAGGAAGGAACACCAGUGGCGAAGGCGACCACCUGGACUGAUACUGACACUGAGGUGCGAAAGCGUGGGGAGCAAACA